RNAcentral lists this ribosomal RNA (916 nucleotides) under Halobacteriales archaeon QH_9_66_26. RNAcentral describes it as "bacterial SSU rRNA". It matches the Rfam family "Archaeal small subunit ribosomal RNA", at positions 1 to 918 of the family's 1478-position model. The record is from RNAcentral. Lineage: Archaea; Methanobacteriati; Methanobacteriota; Halobacteria; Halobacteriales.
AUUCCGGUUGAUCCUGCCGGAGGCUAUUGCUAUCGGGAUCCGAUUCAGUCAUGCUAGUCGCACGGGUUCAGACCCGUGGCGAAUAGCUCCGUAACACGUGGUCAAACUACCCUCUGGACCGGGACACCCUCGGGAAACUGAGGCUAAUCCCGGAUACUGCUUUCACGCUGGAACGCGGAAAGCCGGAAACGGUCCGCCGCCGGAGGACGUGACUGCGGCCGAUUAGGUAGACGGUGGGGUAACGGCCCACCGUGCCGAUAAUCGGUACGGGUUGUGAGAGCGAGAACCCGGAGACGGACUCUGAGACAAGAGUCCGGGCCCUACGGGGCGCAGCAGACGCGAAACCUUUACACUGCACGACAGUGCGAUAAGGGGAUCCCGAGUGCGAGGGCAUACAGUCCUCGCUUUUCGUGACCGUAAGGUGGUCUCAGAAUAAGGGCUGGGCAAGACCGGUGCCAGCCGCCGCGGUAAUACCGGCAGCCCGAGUGAUAGCCACUCUUAUUGGGCCUAAAGCGUCCGUAGCUGGCCGAACGGGUCCGUCGGGAAAUCCACCCGCUCAACGGGUGGGCGUCCGGCGGAAACCAGUCGGCUUGGGACCGGAGGACCUGCGGGGUACGUCCGGGGUAGGAGUGAAAUCCCGUAAUCCCGGACGGACCGCCGGUGGCGAAAGCGCCGCAGGAGGACGGAUCCGACAGUGAGGGACGAAAGCUUGGGUCUCGAACCGGAUUAGAUACCCGGGUAGUCCAAGCCGUAAACGAUGCUCGCUAGGUGUGGCGCAGGCUACGAGCCUGCGCUGUGCCGUAGGGAAGCCGAGAAGCGAGCCGCCUGGGAAGUACGUCCGCAAGGAUGAAACUUAAAGGAAUUGGCGGGGGAGCACUACAACCGGAGGAGCCUGCGGUUUAAUUGGACUCAACGC